AGCACCUUGGCCUGCAACUUGCAGCCUGUGAGUCUUCUUUUUACCGUAGGCCCUGCCCAGUGAGGCCCUGGCUGCUGAGACUGCCACAGUAUGGGCCUGUGCACAGACCUUCUCUGCUGUUGGUAUGUAAAUUCAUAGAGAAGUAUAAAUGGAUAACAACAGAAAAUGGUAUUGGAACAGUGGAAAUCAGCAAUUUUGCACAGGAAGCUUUGGGAGAUGUUACUAGAGUCUCUGUGAAGUUGGGACAAAAUUGAACAAACAAGAUGAGUUUGGUGUUUGGGAAGUGUGAAAACUGCUAGUGAACUCUAUUCUCCUCUAUGAGGAGAAGUAACUGAAAUUAAUGAACCUUUUGUAGAAAAUCCAGGACUUACCAACGAAUCUUAUGAAAGUGGCUGACUGAUCAAGAUGACACUAAGUAACCCUUCAGAACUAGAUGGACUAACGAGUGAAGUGUAUGAGAAAUACACAAAAUCUAAUGAAGACU
Molecule: long non-coding RNA, 484 nt
Filed under: Homo sapiens (human)
Lineage: Eukaryota; Metazoa; Chordata; Mammalia; Primates; Hominidae
Description: non-protein coding lnc-DAB2-3:1
Source: RNAcentral